This 565-nucleotide long non-coding RNA is filed under the name Olea europaea (common olive). Its description in RNAcentral is "long non-coding RNA (OEUR_LNC013591)". The record is from RNAcentral. Lineage: Eukaryota; Viridiplantae; Streptophyta; Magnoliopsida; Lamiales; Oleaceae.
AGGAGAUUUAGAAGAAAUGUGACCAAAGUCUUUACAGUUGACGCACAACAAGUGAGAAGAAGACCUUGGAAUUUUAGAAAUUCUACCCUGAUUUUUCAAGAUUGGAGAACCAUUAGAAGGGGAAGGUCCUAGAAGGGACUUAACGGGAGGAGGUGGGGCCAAUGAAGCCAAAUGAUGAUUAUAAAAAAUUUUAUCCUUAUUUUUCAAAAUUGGAGAAACAUCAGAUGGGGGAGGUCCUAGAAGGGACUUAACGGGAGGAAGUGGAGCCAAUGACACCGAAGGAUGAUUGUCAAUAUGCUUUCUACAUGGAGAAGAAGAUCUUGGACUAUCACGACCUUUACAAUUAUUUUUCCAAAUAGGAGGAACAUUAGACGGAGAAGGUUUUAUGAUAGACUUAUGAUGAGGCGACGCUAAUGAGAUGGGUGAACGAAGACGACCAUGCUUUUCAUAUGGAGUACUAAUAAUCAACUCAUAAUCUCGAGCUAAAGAGUAAGCAUGAUCAAGAGUAGUGACACCUCGAAGGAAAAGCUCGCGCUUAAGAUCAUCCCUCAGACCUUGGCUAAAC